GGGGCAGGCACUGUCUCUCGCUCCGUGUCUGUGCAGCGCCCGGCGCAAGGGGCUCAGGAUCUCGAGGGGGUGCCGUCAUGCUGAGGACACCCGGCUUUCCGCCUCCUCGUCCUCCUGCCAUCACAGCACUAUCCAAACCUAUCAGCAUCAAAGUGGCUUUUAAGCCAUCCACAUGGUAAACUCCCCUCAUCUUCCCGGCAUGGGUGGGGCCGCUGCCAAGCCAGGCUGAGAUUUACGGAGAGCAUGUGCCGUGUAGUAGGUGUAGAAGAGCACCAGCAAAACUUGGCUAACAUGGGGCCUCCUGCAUUCAGAACAGAUUCUCUGGGGCAGAUCUUCAGUGGAGCUGU
Caretta caretta (loggerhead turtle) is the source of this 347-nucleotide long non-coding RNA. RefSeq lists it as uncharacterized. Lineage: Eukaryota; Metazoa; Chordata; Testudines; Cheloniidae. The record is from RefSeq and is a predicted model, not a curated record.